UCUAAAGCUAAAUACUGGCUGGAGACCGAUAGCGCACAAGUAGAGUGAUCGAAAGAUGAAAAGCACUUUGGAAAGAGAGUCAAAAAGUACGUGAAAUUGUUGAAAGGGAAGCGCUUGCAACCAGACCUGUCCGUGGGUGAUCAGCCGCCGUUCUCGGUGGUGCACUCGCCUACGAUCAGGCCAGCAUCGGUUCGGGCGGUCGGACAAAGGCCUUGGGAAUGUAGCUCCUCUCGGGGAGUCUUAUAGCCCUCGGUGCAAUGCGGCCAGCCCGGACCGAGGACCGCGCUUCGGCUAGGAUGCUGGCGUAAUGGUUGUAAGCGACCCGUCUUGAAACACGGACCAAGGAGUCUAACAUCUAUGCGAGUGUUUGGGUGUUAAACCCAUACGCGGAAUGAAAGUGAACGGAGGUGAGAACCCUUUAGGGCGCAUCAUCGACCGAUCCAGAUGUCUUCGGAUGGAUUUGAGUAUGAGCAUAGCUGUUGGGACCCGAAAGAUGGUGAACUAUGCCUGAAUAGGGUGAAGCCAGAGGAAACUCUGGUGGAGGCUCGCAGCGG
Molecule: ribosomal RNA, 554 nt
Filed under: Protoparmelia aff. badia A GS-2015
Lineage: Eukaryota; Fungi; Ascomycota; Lecanoromycetes; Lecanorales; Parmeliaceae
Description: eukaryotic LSU rRNA
Rfam family: Eukaryotic large subunit ribosomal RNA
Source: RNAcentral